GCGUAUAUUAAAGUUGUUGCAGUUAAAAAGCUCGUAGUUGAAUUUCGGGGUCAGCAGGUUGGUCGUGCCACUGGUAUGCACUGGCUUCGCUGAUUCCUCCUUUCUGAAGAACUGUAAUGCCAUUAAUUUGGUGUUGCAGGGAAACAGGACUGUUACUUUGAAAAAAUUAGAGUGUUUAAAGCAGGCUAACGCUUGAAUACAUUAGCAUGGAAUAAUGAAAUAGGACGUUUGAUCCUAUUUUGUUGGUUUCUAGGAUUGACGUAAUGAUUAAUAGGGAUAGUUGGGGGCAUUAGUAUUCAAUUGUCAGAGGUGAAAUUCUUGGAUUUAUUGAAGACUGACUACUGCGAAAGCAUUUGCCAAGGAUGUUUUCAUUAAUCAAGAACGAAAGUUAGGGGAUCGAAGACGAUCAGAUACCGUCGUAGUCUUAACCAUAAA
This 435-nucleotide ribosomal RNA is filed under the name uncultured Glomus. RNAcentral's name for it is "SSU rRNA". It matches the Rfam family "Eukaryotic small subunit ribosomal RNA", at positions 597 to 1036 of the family's 1831-position model. The record is from RNAcentral. Lineage: Eukaryota; Fungi; Glomeromycota; Glomeromycetes; Glomerales; Glomeraceae.